Gallus gallus (chicken) is the source of this 1474-nucleotide long non-coding RNA. The record is from Ensembl. Lineage: Eukaryota; Metazoa; Chordata; Aves; Galliformes; Phasianidae.
UGUGAAAUUAGAAGAUGGUCAGCACUUUACACUCACAGAUGGUAACAAGGAAGCAAAUGCAAAGGUCCCAAGUGCAUUCCAGGCACCAACUGAACCUAAGCCUUUCCUCUGCAAAGCUCACAAACCUUACGAAGCCCGACACGCUGCCCGCGGGCCGGCGUUACCCAGCAGGGUGCCCCCUGCGAGCAGUGCCAGCGCUGCCUUCCAGCCGGAGCGGGCGGCGCGCGGCGCUCCGCAAUGGGGCUUCUGAGGCACGAAAGAAGUCAUCGUUUUAUUUGGAAAAGGCUUCGACGCGAAUACCUUUGAUCCUCAACGUAAAUAAUCGCAACGGACACAACUGUUCGUCACCACUUUGGAAAACCGUGUGAUAUCAAUAAACGAACCAAGAAUCUUUUCAGGAAAAGUAAACGUGACCCACUGAAAGGUCCUUCUGUCACCCUUACAUACAAAGUAUGAAAGAAAAGUCUUUAUAAAACACAGGAAAAAACAGAAGCACGUUUUUAAUCUCCAUCUCCCGUGACUCUGAACUGAGAAGGGCAGGGGAAGAAAUCUGCUUUAAGAGAAGGGAGCAGAAGUUAUCUUAAAUGUUGUUUUGUAGUGUAAAUCCAUUAAAUCGCUAUUCUCGGUUCACACCAACUCCUGUAUCGGGCGUUACAAAGUCUCUUAGACGUAAAGCACUUCAGUGCUGAGUAUUAAGGUGGAGCGGAUUUUUCUACUCCGUAGGUAUCACAGCGAUCUGGGAGUUUAUUUUUACAGCCUGAGAUGUCAGAAUGGCACGGAGGCAUGAAAAUCUCACCAUCUGUAUGCUCACGGACAAUUCAUCAAGAACGCUCAACGACAGACUUGGAAUAACAAAAUUUGAACGUUCUUACUACCGCCUAGCCGCACGCUCAGACCUCGUUUAAAUAGCACCUCACCUGCCUUACCGUGCCGCUUACCUCAGGCCCAAACCUCCCCGGCCACUGUUUGCCUACCCGCACGAAUCCUGCCAUAAAACAGGCACGUGCCGUUUGAAAUAACACUUGUUAAAUGUAACGGGAGGUUACACAGAGACGCAUAUAAUGUAAUUUCGCCGAGUGCUGUCGUGCAGCCCACGGAAGGUUCGGGAGCGGAGCGGUGGCUUCACCUGGAGCUUAGCUGGUGCGCCGGGCAGUGUCCUUCUGGCUGCGUGUUCCCCAUCGCUGCCAGGAGACAAGGACUUGUUUUAGUUGGAACUCUUAAAGCAGACACUACAUAGUUUAGAUUAACUCCUUUCAGUAGUACGGCGUCAAUGUGUUAUUCCCUUAACAUAAAACAUACAGAUUAUGUAAAUCUGUAAUAAAUACUAUUUUGAAGUGUAUAGUAAUCAGAAAUCUUUCAGGGCAGGAUGGAAUGGAAACUGAGAAAUAUUGGAGAGUAAACAUUCCAACGCUCAUUCCUCUGCUUCUUCCUGGCAGAGCGGAGCGCGGCGCUGGCUGCCGCCGGGCUGUCAGUG